Otolemur garnettii (small-eared galago) is the source of this 54-nucleotide small nucleolar RNA. The record is from Ensembl. Lineage: Eukaryota; Metazoa; Chordata; Mammalia; Primates; Galagidae.
UGCUGGUGGUGAAGUUCCCACUCUCUGAGCACUGGGCUCUGCCGGGGGUGAGCG